CAGCAGCCGCGGUAAUACGAAGGGUGCAAGCGUUAAUCGGAAUUACUGGGCGUAAAGCGUGCGUAGGCGGUGAGUUAAGUCUGCUGUGAAAUCCCCGGGCUCAACCUGGGAAUGGCAGUGGAUACUGGAUCGCUAGAGUGCGUCAGAGGAUGGUGGAAUUCCGCGUGUAGCGGUGAAAUGCGUAGAGAUCGGGAGGAACAUCAGUGGCGAAGGCGGCCAUCUGGGACUGCACUGACGCUGAGGCACGAAAGCGUGGGGAGCAAACAGGAUUAGAUACCCCCGUAGUCCCUGUCUCUUAUAC
Molecule: ribosomal RNA, 301 nt
Filed under: uncultured bacterium
Lineage: Bacteria
Description: partial 16S ribosomal RNA
Rfam family: Bacterial small subunit ribosomal RNA
Source: RNAcentral